CAGUAGCCGCGGUAAUACGGAGGGUGCAAGCGUUAAUCGGAAUUACUGGGCGUAAAGCGCACGCAGGCGGUCUGACAAAUCAGAUGUGAAAUCCCCGGGCUUAACCUGGGAACUGCAUUUGAAACUGUCAGGCUGGAGUCUUGUAGAGGGGGGUGGAAUUCCAGGUGUAGCGGUGAAAUGCGUAGAGAUCUGGAGGAAUACCGGUGGCGAAGGCGGCCCCCUGGACAAAGACUGACGCUCAGGUGCGAAAGCGUGGGGAGCAAACAGGAUUAGAUACCCCUGUAGUCCCUGUCUCUUAUAC
This 301-nucleotide ribosomal RNA is filed under the name uncultured bacterium. Its description in RNAcentral is "partial 16S ribosomal RNA". It matches the Rfam family "Bacterial small subunit ribosomal RNA", at positions 509 to 807 of the family's 1533-position model. The record is from RNAcentral.